CUUUAGGUAUCUUAAGUAAGAGUUGAAUUUUUAAUUCAAAAUAUAAUAAUUUAAAAUUUAUUUCUAAUGA
This 70-nucleotide transfer RNA is filed under the name Blacus sp. Its description in RNAcentral is "tRNA-Lys". Lineage: Eukaryota; Metazoa; Arthropoda; Insecta; Hymenoptera; Braconidae. The record is from RNAcentral.